AUGAACCGGCAAUGGAUGUACGGUGACAGACACACCUCUGAGUACAUUAAGGGCGUGCAUAAUUUUCUCGAAGUGGCUGAGGCAAACAAGCAGAAUGGUUUUAUAUGUUGUCCAUGCCCUAUAUGUGCGAAUACGAAGUCUUACUCUGACCGGAAAAUCCUUCACACCCACCUGCUUUAUAAGGGUUUCAUGCCACACUAUAAUGUUUGGACCAAGCACGGAGAAAUAGGGGUUAUGAUGGAAGAAAGCAAAGAAGAAGAGGACGAUGCCAACUAUGUGCCCCUUGAAUACGGUGAUGCUGCAACGGGGGAAGCUGAGGAUCAAGAGGAACCAGACGAUGUGCCCGAUGAUGAUCUCCGCCGGGUCAUUGUUGAUGCAAGAAGACAAUGCGGAAUUCAAAAGGAGAAGCUGAAGUUCGAUCGCAUGUUAGAGGAUCACGAAAAAGGGUUGUACCCCAAUUGCGAAGAUGGCAACACAAAGCUCGGUACCGUACUGGAAUUGCUGCAGUGGAAGGCAGAGAAUGCUGUGCUUGACAAAGGAUUUGAGAAGCUACUGAAAAUAUUGAAGAAGAGCUUCCAAAGGAUAACGAAUUGCCCGACAGUACGUACGCAGCAAAGAAGGUCGUAUGCCCUCUAG
This 636-nucleotide ribosomal RNA is filed under the name Triticum aestivum (bread wheat). Its description in RNAcentral is "partial small subunit ribosomal RNA". The record is from RNAcentral. Lineage: Eukaryota; Viridiplantae; Streptophyta; Magnoliopsida; Poales; Poaceae.